Molecule: ribosomal RNA, 274 nt
Filed under: uncultured bacterium
Lineage: Bacteria
Description: partial 16S ribosomal RNA
Rfam family: Bacterial small subunit ribosomal RNA
Source: RNAcentral
AUACGGAGGGUGCAAGCGUUACUCGGAAUCACUGGGCGUAAAGCGCGCGCAGGCGGCUAUUUAAGUUGGAUGUGAAAGCCUACGGCUCAACCGUAGAACUGCAUCCAAAACUAUUUAGCUAGAGUGUGGGAGAGGAAGAUGGAAUUAGUUGUGUAGGGGUAAAAUCCGUAGAGAUAACUAGGAAUACCAAAAGCGAAGGCGAUCUUCUGGAACAGUACUGACGCUGAGGCGCGAAAGCGUGGGGAGCAAACAGGAUUAGAUACCCUAGUAGUCC